CUUGGAUACAAUGAUGCCAGUUCUCGAGGCAGACAGAUCCCCAUGUAACACUGCUGUGUGGAACUGCUUUCAGUUACAAGUCCUUGAACAGAAAGUGGUGGUACAUGUAACAAACGCAAAACUGAAAGCUUAUAAAAAAUAUGCUAAGGUGAGGAUAUCAAUCCUGCAGGCCUGUAAAGUGUAUGCAUUGGGUCUUGACCGCAAAGAAAAAUCCAUUCUCAACAACCCAGCAUAACAAAUGAUUUAUAGCGAGCUGUAACCAGUAUUCAACGACCUCAAUGCUCUGGGAACUGUAGAAAUGGCGCAUCAACCAUAAUGCUGAGACAGAUUGGUCUACUGUUUGCCAUUCCACUGGUGGCAAAUGCAAAGAGGCUCAUACUUAAAAUAGAUCCUUGUGGCACUUCAUCUUCUUGGGGAUAACACACAGGUACAAAACUGGCUCACCUGAGUGUCUGGCUGCCACAAGGUUGGAUCUACUGCCAAUGUAUGUUCGAGCAGCCAGAGAAACGGAACUUGCUCCACUUAGCAGCUGUGGAGGAAGGCUUGCUUCAAACUCAC
This is a long non-coding RNA of Zootermopsis nevadensis, 558 nucleotides long. RefSeq lists it as uncharacterized. The record is from RefSeq and is a predicted model, not a curated record. Lineage: Eukaryota; Metazoa; Arthropoda; Insecta; Blattodea; Termopsidae.